ACCUGAACCUUUGAAUUUAUCAGUGGAGUCCUGAGAGUUCUCUGGCGGCCAAACCCUCCAACAACUGGUCGGCAAAUCCUGACCGCGCUUUAACUGACCGUUGGACACAAAAUUAUACGGGAACAAUGUUUUAGUUACAAAAUAUUACGAGGUUACCGGAGUCUUACCGGGCCUCAGGCGAGAAAGAGCAAAAUGUGAAAAGACUGUACGAACCAGAAAACGUCAUUACCAGAUAACCAGUUGUAUGAAAGCAGAACAGACGAUGAUUUUCCGCGACCGGAUCAACGGUGGUUUAACAUACAACUGAACGUGGGAAAAGAGAGCGUCAAGGGAAAAGAAACUGAUCUAAUUUCACUCUAUAAAUGACAGCAGAACAGACCUCUAUUGCUUGCUGGUAAAUAAAACUUUAAUAAACAACUAACAUUAUAUUGUAAGCAUGUUUUCAAACAAAAGGUCAAGCAGUCAGAGAGUGUCAAGUGACACACUUCAGUCAGUGAUCGCAUCCGGAAUGUAAUUUCCAGCCAGAACUGAUUAGUAAAACCACAGUGUAAGCUAUUUGAACACCAAAAAAAAUUUUCCAGUUAGCUAGCUCUCGAUAAGCUAAAUUCUCAGCAAGAUUCUGUUUAAUACUAAAAUUCCCAGCCAGCUCAACUUUAGUCUGCAGAGCGGAUAUUUUGCGGAGCGGAUCCGACGGGUACUCCUGCAGUCGGUUAGCUGCGGGUCGAGUGACCUCGGGCAAAGUGUAUUAUAAAGCGGCAACCGCUGCCAGGUGAUGGUUUUUGUCAGCGAGUUGUACACGUGAUGCUUCUUUUAGGACAAAACCCAGCAAAAGUAAAAUUUCAACAUGGCCAGACAUCCCCGUUAUUUCGUAAUUUUUGUAAAAAAUACAAGCCGACCGGUUCAAGUCUCCCGACAUUCCAUGUAUCCCUCACGCUCUUGACACAUGCAGAUUACUCCACGGAAGAACCUCUAUUGCUAAUAAAAUCCUUAAAAAAACUAACUUGUACCUAGCUGAGCCGACCUCCAUGCAGGUGCUGACAGGCUUGUUACGUAAUUACUGGCCACACAAGUUCAGCUAGCAUGGUAAAGAUGUUGUCACGUGCAAAAUUGAUGUUUUGUGAGUUCUCACGUGCUGUUUAAAUUGAACUUGCCGGAGAGUUCCGGCUUUCCCGGUAUAACUGAGUCGUUUACUAAGGUGUAAAGAAUUCUCAGUUGAUUGCAGAGUAAUUGUAUCGUAUUUUAUCAGAACAGUGCUUAAUUUUGGUAAAGUAUGUCCAGUGCCGAGUUUAAAAUCUUUACAACGAUAUUCUGGCCAACUAAAAACAAUUUUAAAAUGGUAUUAAUUUUGUCACUUUUAUGAGAAAAGUAAAAUCAAUAGAAACAAGAGGACAUCUUGUAUUUCAGUAAAAAUAAAUUAUCGGUGUUUAUUUUGUCUUUUAAUGUGCAUUGUUAAAGGAGCUUUUUGUACUCUUAAUAUGUGAGGUUUAUAUCUGGUGAACACUCACGGAAGACCUCAGACGACCGCAGUUCAGACCAUUGAACUGUCAACUGAAUGAUGGAAGAUAAAAUCUGGGCUAAACAGGUCUUGGCCGGGAAUAGAUUAAGUGCGAUAUCUGAAUUGCAAGAACACAAGGCUACUGAAAGACAAGGAAA
Long non-coding RNA from Orbicella faveolata, 1653 nucleotides. Lineage: Eukaryota; Metazoa; Cnidaria; Anthozoa; Scleractinia; Merulinidae. The record is from RefSeq and is a predicted model, not a curated record.